GGGAAGGUGGCUCAGUGGUAGAGUGCUUGCUUUAUAUGCAUGAGGCUGUAGGUUCGAUUCCUCAAUACCA
This is a non-coding RNA of Dipodomys ordii (Ord's kangaroo rat), 70 nucleotides long. The record is from Rfam. NCBI's taxonomy places the organism in Eukaryota, Metazoa, Chordata, Mammalia, Rodentia, Heteromyidae.